GAUGAACGCUGGCGGCGUGCCUAAUACAUGCCAGUCGAGCGAACGGACGAGAAGCUUGCUUCUCUGAUGUUAGCGGCGGACGGGUGAGUAACACGUGGAUAACCUACCUAUAAGACUGGGAUAACUUCGGGAAACCGGAGCUAAUACCGGAUAAUAUUUAGAACCGCAUGGUUCAAAAGUGAAAGACGGUCUUGCUGUCACUUAUAGAUGGAUCCGCGCUGCAUUAGCUAGUUGGUAAGGUAACGGCUUACCAAGGCAACGAUGCAUAGCCGACCUGAGAGGGUGAUCGGCCACACUGGAACUGAGACACGGUCCAGACUCCUACGGGAGGCAGCAGUAGGGAAUCUUCCGCAAUGGGCGAAAGCCUGACGGAGCAACGCCGCGUGAGUGAUGAAGGUCUUCGGAUCGUAAAACUCUGUUAUUAGGGAAGAACAUAUGUGUAAGUAACUGUGCACAUCUUGACGGUACCUAAUCAGAAAGCCACGGCUAACUACGUG
This 497-nucleotide ribosomal RNA is filed under the name uncultured bacterium. RNAcentral describes it as "partial 16S ribosomal RNA". It matches the Rfam family "Bacterial small subunit ribosomal RNA", at positions 28 to 507 of the family's 1533-position model. The record is from RNAcentral.